Molecule: long non-coding RNA, 694 nt
Organism: Engraulis encrasicolus (European anchovy)
Lineage: Eukaryota; Metazoa; Chordata; Actinopteri; Clupeiformes; Engraulidae
Exons: 3
Source: RefSeq, a predicted model, not a curated record
GGCGGGUCUUUGAAUUAACCUAUAUAAAGUAAAUAGAUGCAAAACAAUUCAUUAACAUUCCUUGAGUAAACAUGAUUUCAUCAAAUAAGGAUAAUGUGUUCUUGGAGACUGCUGAAUUGGCAUGUUUCUAAUGCUUUGAAUGAACAUGAUUAAGUUGUGUCUGGGGUGGCCUCCAGUCCUGAGGUGGCGCUAGUGCACCACUUUCUAAGACAAGAAGAACUCGGAAAGUUUCAAAGCCAGAGAGCCGUUCGCCUCAGCUCGGUCCUACUCUUCAGUCUCAUCUCGCUGGAAUAGUGUUGUCAUGUGUGAAGAUAUACACGAAAUUGAGACUUCUGGCACAGCGGCCUGCACUGUUCGAAGUCUGUAAGAUCAGUGCUGAAUUCAAAAGAAUCACCACAGUUCCCCUGCAAUCCAAGCAACUGUUGCUGAAUUGGCUGAUGUAAGUUUCUGUAUUUUUUGCCUGUCUACUUGAUGGUCCCUGAGCAGAAAGCCUUUUUUUACUAUUAAGUUACACCCCUGCAUGUUAAAACCCCAUAGAGAGGAUCAUGAUCUGCCUUAGUAGUCAUGGUACCAGUACAUUCAUAUGCCAUGUUUCUUUUGGUGGCAGUCAGCUUCCCAAUGUUGAUGCCAUUCAUAGAAUCUCAAAACAAAUCAGUCCCACCACCAUUUUUGACCGUAAACACGGGACUAUUUU